Molecule: long non-coding RNA, 2737 nt
Organism: Sciurus carolinensis (gray squirrel)
Lineage: Eukaryota; Metazoa; Chordata; Mammalia; Rodentia; Sciuridae
Exons: 2
Source: RefSeq, a predicted model, not a curated record
GUUUUUUUUUUUUUAAUCCGAGUAGAUAAUUUACAAGGAUUACUUAAAAGAUUUCCUUACUCUUAGGAACAAAAUAGAUUCAGCACUUGGGAAGCGCAACGAAAAGAAAUCGGAUUUUAACCUAAUGCAACAGCUACUUUACCCACCUUUGAAGGCAGAGGGCUCUUGGAGACAAGGUCCAAGGGACCUCAGCAGAGAACACUGAUUCCGAGUUGAGGGUGUUGGUUAAGGCUGUGGAGGAAGCUGAUUGGGUCUUACAGGGGUCUUGAAGAAUGUCAAAUGUCUGCUCUCAGAAAUGUCAUCGAGGCACCUGCUGAUAAGACAAAGCCAAGCUUACUGUUCAUGAGGUAAUGGAGACAAUAGCUUGACAGCAUUUUUGUGGUGUCCUGGUGAGGGAAAAGCAAGGCUGGGCUAAAUAUUGAGCUUAUGAUGUCUGGUUUAAACCCGCUCUUUAAUGUGUGGUGUGUGUGUGUUGGGGGGGGGGGUAGUUAGGAUUGGAUAAGGAUUGGGUAAUAGUUUAGGAUUGCUAGAUAUAACCAAAGCUAGGAUCCUGAGACAAAGGUUCAAGAAAUCUUGAGUUGCAACCUGUUCUUUGAUAUUUUCUAUUGAAGAGUGGUUGGAUCGUUGAGGAAGUUACUGGAAUAAAAAAAAAAAAUUGCAACUUUUUAAUUUCCUGGCAGAACGUGCCUGGAAUAAUAAAUUUAUAUUGAUGAAAACAGGACAAGCAAGUUAUGUGAGUUUAGAUGGUUUCAGUUCUCAAAAUGGUGAACGUACCUGAGAAUGAAAUUAACAUUCGUUACUUACUCCGAGUAUUUUAUCCUGAAAAGAAAAUCACUCACGAAAACACAUUUGAGAUGAUUUGUUUGCCGAACACCGAAUUUGGACACAGAGAAGUUGAUCUUAGAAAAUAUUUUUGCAAAAAUGAACCUUAGCUCGAAAAGACAUCAGUUCUUCUAAAAUGAGAACAAGCUGUCUGGUAAGCGCUGCAAAAGAAAUACAUCGUUUCACUUUGUCGCGGUUCUUUUUUACUUUCCCAGGAACGGCACUCAGAACCCACUUCAGAAAUGACAGCAUCCAGGAAUACAGGGAUUUUUUCCCUCCCGCUCUCACCAGCCUGAGGAUUUUCUGCCAAUGAAUUCUCUCAAAAUUCCAGGUUGGCCCAGAACUAAAGUGGGUAACUUACCAAAGAGGAAGAGUCCGUUCCAAGUUCAGCGAUUAACUCGCCUUGGGGGACCUUUCCCUCCAACACUAGAAUCCCGCGCUUCGGAGAACUCAAACCGCGUAGGAAAUGACGCUUCUGGCCAACGGACGGAGAGAUCCUGAGGUCACCUUCUCUUUUUAGACAGCAACUCGCCUACUCGGAUGCCAAUUGGCCGCUCUCGGGCCACCAAGUAGAGAGGCGGGUCAAAGUGGGGGAGCGCUCCCGCUCUUUUUCCCUCAGCGCUACUCUUUAUCGCGGCCAGAGUGACCACGCCCCAUAACUUCAUUGCCGAUUGCGUCACACCUGCUUCUUUUCUUCCUGUUUCUCUAGUCUGGAGUAUUAAAAAGACCCCAAUGGGGAUGGAGGUGGGUUAGGCUGGGCGGCGUUUACAGGGAGUGGGACGCGAGACCCUGGGAGCCGAGAGGACUGUCGCGGACCUGCAGCUGCGUAAACCGAGCAAGGUGCGUGGACACCAGCCGGGUUCAUAGGGGGCGGGAAAGUGGCUCCAGGGUGCCCAGCAGUCACCGAUAAGGGAGGAGGCGAAGUGACACCCGCUCCACAGCAGAAUCUGCGCCAACACUCAGUGGGCACGGUGGCUGGGUGGGCAUGAGGGAAGCGGGAAGUUCGAGCUAUUGGUCGCUUCCCGCGAGUCAACAUCCCCAGGAAUAUGAAAAUCAAGAAGCAGCUACAGAUGUAGGCAGAGUAAACGCCCUUGUCCUAGAUCGAUUUUCCGAACAUGUGCAGACAUCUACAAUCCUGAAGAAGAAGAUGGUAUAGACUCCGGAAAUAUACAUCAAAACUGAUGACCAAAGAAGAUUGGGAAAAGCUUUCAAGGCAGCCUACACACAGGACCGGCAUUCAAAGGUGCCGGUAUCCAAGGACAUUCUGGGACAGUGACAAAUUUCAAUGACCAUUAAGAGAUGGUAAAGAAUACUGAGGUUGAAAUUGUCGGUCAAUCUGAAGACACUGUUUUCAAGAGCUGUCCUGGUAGUUCCAAACACUGAAGAACUUCCUACCAUUUGAGCUGAAUUGCUAGUAUUUCAUACACUUUUGAAAUAUUGGCCAGAAGUUAAGAAUCUCAGAAAGCAGCAAACACUAUUGUUGGAUUGUAGAUAUUAGAGUAGGUCUUAUGAUGAUAGCAUAGAGCACUAAGAAUGUGUUCAUGCCACUGGGAAGUGUUUUCUCUGGUGGAUUUUAUUUCUCUUUCUCUCUCUGCCAUUUUUACAUUUCAAUGCAUAAGCAAAGUAGUGAUUUAGUAGACAACAGGCUUAACAUCUUUCGAGAACAUGAAUGUGAAGAAUUCAACAGGUUGACAAAACUCUCAAUCCACAAAAUGAAGAUUCACUAUUAAUCUUAUUCAAAUGAUUUUGAUAGAUUGAAAUGUUAGUACACGAAAAGAUAACAGGAGGUUUAUAGGAUACAUAAAAUGUGUUCUAACACCUGUGUAACUAAACCUACCAUGUAGCAAGAUAUCUAUCACAUUCUUUCUGAAAUCUUCAUAUAAUUUUGUAUAUUUUAGUAAAAUUUACUUUUAAA